This 638-nucleotide ribosomal RNA is filed under the name uncultured Actinomycetes bacterium. Its description in RNAcentral is "bacterial SSU rRNA". It matches the Rfam family "Bacterial small subunit ribosomal RNA", at positions 232 to 884 of the family's 1533-position model. Lineage: Bacteria; Bacillati; Actinomycetota; Actinomycetes. The record is from RNAcentral.
CGCGGCCUAUCAGCUUGUUGGUGAGGUAACGGCUCACCAAGGCAUCGACGGGUAGCUGGUCUGAGAGGAUGAUCAGCCACACUGGGACUGAGACACGGCCCAGACUCCUACGGGAGGCAGCAGUGGGGAAUCUUGCACAAUGGGCGAAAGCCUGAUGCAGCAACGCCGCGUGCGGGAAGAAGGCCUUAGGGUUGUAAACCGCUUUCAGCAGGGAAGAAAAUGACGGUACCUGUAGAAGAAGGUGCGGCCAACUACGUGCCAGCAGCCGCGGUGACACGUAGGCACCAAGCGUUGUCCGGAUUUAUUGGGCGUAAAGAGCUCGUAGGCGGUUCGGUAAGUCGGGUGUGAAAACUCUGGGCUCAACCCAGAGCCGCCACCCGAUACUGCUGUGACUUGAGUUCGGUAGGGGAGCGGGGAGUUCCUGGUGUAGCGGUGAAAUGCGCAGAUAUCAGGAGGAACACCAGUGGCGAAGGCGCCGCUCUGGGCCGACACUGACGCUGAGGAACGAAAGCGUGGGUAGCAAACAGGAUUAGAUACCCUGGUGGUCCACGCCGUAAACGUUGGGCACUAGGUGUGGGUCUCGACCAACGAGAUCCGCGCCGUCGCUAACGCAUUAAGUGCCCCGCCUGGGGAAAUCG